GCGCAGAUCACUGAAGAAGCAACAUGUAAGCUGCCCCCGCUGGAAAAGAAUUCCUUUCACUCACUGGACGAGUCCUCAGUGAGCUCCUACAUACUGUGGGGGCAGAUGCUAGUCACCUCAGAGAGCUCACCAGCCUGAACAAAGACAAAGGGCAAAUGACCAAGCCACCUCAGCGUGGUCACACCAUGCAAACCUGAAGCCAUGCAGUUUGAAUAAAGUACAAAGUGUGAACUCUAA
Non-coding RNA from Myodes glareolus (Bank vole), 237 nucleotides. Lineage: Eukaryota; Metazoa; Chordata; Mammalia; Rodentia; Cricetidae. The record is from RefSeq and is a predicted model, not a curated record.